AACAAUAUUUAUAAUAUAUUAUUAUAUUGUUUUCUUUUAAAUUUUAAUCCACUGAUAUCGGAAGCAAUGUCAGCAUCUGAGACU
Long non-coding RNA from Hibiscus syriacus, 84 nucleotides. RefSeq lists it as uncharacterized. Lineage: Eukaryota; Viridiplantae; Streptophyta; Magnoliopsida; Malvales; Malvaceae. The transcript has 3 exons. The record is from RefSeq and is a predicted model, not a curated record.